CUAAAACCCAGCAGGUUAGGAAUUCAUUCUUUUGAGUUUUUAUCAUAAAAUAAUCCCUGUAAUCUGAGCCAAUUAAUUUUUCCUAGCCUACAGUCACAGAUGAACUGUGCAACACCAACACAAACAACAUUUAGGUGAUAGUUUACUUAUUACAGUAAUAGCUAACACAUAUUAGACCACCUGUAUUCAAAGCACUCCUGUGGCUUUGGGUUGUUUUGUUUUGUUUUGUUUUUGCAUCAUGCACUUACUUGGUUUACUCAUUAUUCAAAGGAAAGAAAAAUGGGUAAUUGGUGCAGAGCAUUCUGCAGCUAAGUAGAAGCAGGGCUUGAACUCAGGAUGUUGGGCUUUUGAGCAUAUAAACUACCACAGAAUCGUCUCAUAAGAGUCUGUCUGGUCAAGACAGUUCUUUCCGCAUGCAGAUACGGAACCCAGUGUCAGAACAGCAAGAGGAUUCAGACACUGAAUCUAGCAAGUCGGCAGCCAGGAGGUAAAUGGCAGAUUAGAUGCAAGGUGGAUUUGUACCAACCCAUCAGGGGAGAGUACUCACAUGAACUCUAGGUUGAGUUGGGUGCUGCUGGAUAGUUCUGGGAACAUCGGAGGGGCAGGUUGCCGUGCAAAGAUACGGCAAUAACAAAAAAGCAAGUUUGCCAUAGUUAUUCCUUUAGGGUUCUCUUUGGAUACUGGGCAAUUAGGUUAACAAAUGACUGGGGAGUGAAAGAGAAA
Mus musculus (house mouse) is the source of this 723-nucleotide long non-coding RNA. RefSeq annotates it as predicted gene, 35824. Lineage: Eukaryota; Metazoa; Chordata; Mammalia; Rodentia; Muridae. The transcript has 2 exons. The record is from RefSeq and is a predicted model, not a curated record.